UGGUCGACCUGCAGGCGGCCGCGAAUUCACUAGUGAUUAGAGUUUGAUCAUGGCUCAGGAUAAACGCUGGCGGCGUGCUUUAUGCAUGCAAGUCGAACGAUUUUUCCCGCAAGGGAAGGAUAGUGGCAAACGGGUGAGUAACACUUAAGUAACCUGCCCCUAAGUGGGGGAUACCUCUGAGAAAUCGGAGCUAAUACCGUAUGUGGUCCUUCACCACAAGGUGAAGGACUAAAGUUUCUUCGCAAGGAAAGACGCUUGGGGAGGGGCUUGUGGCCGAUUAGCUAGUUGGCGGAGUAACGGUUCACCAAGGCGAUAAUCGGUAGCUGGUCUGAGAGGAUGGUCAGCCACACUGGGACUGAGACACGGCCCAGACUCCUACGGGAGGCAGCAGCAAGGAAUUUUGUGCAAUGGGSGAAAGCCUGACACAGCGACGCCGCGUGGGGGAGGAAGGCCUUCGGGUUGUAAACCCCUUUUCUCAGGGAGGA
RNAcentral lists this ribosomal RNA (485 nucleotides) under uncultured bacterium. RNAcentral's name for it is "bacterial SSU rRNA". It matches the Rfam family "Bacterial small subunit ribosomal RNA", at positions 1 to 448 of the family's 1533-position model. The record is from RNAcentral.